CGCUACCUGAUGACGACGGUCCUGCUCCAUUCUGGCAUCUUAUUAUUGUCGCCUCUGCUUUUUUCCCGAUGUUUUUCUUCGACGUAGGGUUCAUCGAUUGAACUUUUAUGAGAGAGAGAGGUAAUCAGGAAUUAGACAGUCAGAUUGAUUGCAGAGAGGAAAUGACGAUUGGAAGGAAAAUUGAUGUCUUGGGAUAAAUAUAUGUUUGGAAAAUUUUGAGGAAGAUGAAUUGGAUAAUUGGACACGUACGUCUAUG
Molecule: long non-coding RNA, 256 nt
Filed under: Eutrema salsugineum
Lineage: Eukaryota; Viridiplantae; Streptophyta; Magnoliopsida; Brassicales; Brassicaceae
Description: long non-coding RNA (ESAL_LNC000096)
Source: RNAcentral